UCGUUGUGGUUGGCUUUAGAAUUCCUACGCUUUACCGUGUUAAAUAGAAUUCUGGCAAAGCGUUUGGAUUCUGAAACCAAAUGCAA
Molecule: non-coding RNA, 86 nt
Organism: Lutzomyia longipalpis
Lineage: Eukaryota; Metazoa; Arthropoda; Insecta; Diptera; Psychodidae
Source: Rfam